This is a non-coding RNA of Caenorhabditis elegans, 21 nucleotides long. The record is from Ensembl. NCBI's taxonomy places the organism in Eukaryota, Metazoa, Nematoda, Chromadorea, Rhabditida, Rhabditidae.
UUUCAUUAUUAUUUCCGGCUG